Molecule: ribosomal RNA, 676 nt
Filed under: uncultured bacterium
Lineage: Bacteria
Description: bacterial SSU rRNA
Rfam family: Bacterial small subunit ribosomal RNA
Source: RNAcentral
GGGGACAACCCGCCGAAAGGCGGGCUAAACCCGCGUACAUGCCACCGGGGCAUCCCGGAGGCAGGAAAGGCUUCGGCCGGACAGGGAUGGGCAUGCGGCGCAUUAGGCAGUAGGCGGGGUAACGGCCCACCUAACCGACGAUGCGUAGGGGUUCUGAGAGGAAGGUCCCCCACACUGGUACUGAGACACGGACCAGACUCCUACGGGAGGCAGCAGUGAGGAAUAUUGGUCAAUGGUCGGGAGACUGAACCAGCCAAGCCGCGUGAGGGAGGAAGGUACAGAGUAUCGUAAACCUCUUUUGUCAGGGAACAAAGACUGGGACGCGUCCCCGGAUGAGUGUACCUGAAGAAAAAGCAUCGGCUAACUCCGUGCCAGCAGCCGCGGUAAUACGGAGGAUGCGAGCGUUAUCCGGAUUUAUUGGGUUUAAAGGGUGCGCAGGCGGUCUGUUAAGUCAGCGGUCAAAGCCCGGGGCUCAACCCCGGCCCGCCGUUGAAACUGGCAGUCUCGAGUUGGAGAGAAGUAUGCGGAAUGCGCGGUGUAGCGGUGAAAUGCAUAGAUAUCGCGCAGAACUCCGAUUGCGAAGGCAGCAUGCCGGCUCCACACUGACGCUGAGGCACGAAAGCGUGGGUAUCGAACAGGAUUAGAUACCCUGGUAGUCCACGCAGUAAACGAUCAA